RNAcentral lists this transfer RNA (65 nucleotides) under Winthemia rufopicta. Its description in RNAcentral is "tRNA-Tyr". It matches the Rfam family "tRNA". From Rfam's summary of the family: Transfer RNA (tRNA) molecules are approximately 80 nucleotides in length. Their secondary structure includes four short double-helical elements and three loops (D, anti-codon, and T loops). Lineage: Eukaryota; Metazoa; Arthropoda; Insecta; Diptera; Tachinidae. The record is from RNAcentral. RNAcentral also lists the same sequence under 1 other name.
GAUUAGAUGGCUGAAAUUUAGGCAAUAGAUUGUAAAUCUAUUUAUGAGACUAUUCUCUCUAAUCA